GACGAACGCUGGCGGCGUGCUUAACACAUGCAAGUCGAACGGAAAGGCCCUGAUUCUGUGGGGUGCUCGAGUGGCGAACGGGUGAGUAACACGUGAGUAACCUGCCCUUGACUUUGGGAUAACUUCAGGACACUGGGGCUAAUACCGGAUAGGAGCUCCUGAUGUACGGUGGGGGUUGGAAAGUUUCGGCGGGGGGGGAUGGACUCGAGGUUUAUCAGCUUGUUGGUGGGGUAGUGUCUUACCAAGGCUUUGACGGGUAGCUGGCCUGAGAGGGUGACCGGCCACAUUGGGACUGAGAUACGGCCCAGACUCCUACCUUAUACAUCAGUCUUAAAUAUUUCACAAUCAUCGAAAGCCUGAUUCAUCAACACAGCGUGCGGGAUGACGGCCUUCGUGUUGUGAACCUCUUUCACCUCUAACCAGUCUUCAGGAACCUUCAUCCCUAAAUAAUCACGGGCUAACUACAUG
RNAcentral lists this ribosomal RNA (468 nucleotides) under uncultured bacterium. Its description in RNAcentral is "partial 16S ribosomal RNA". It matches the Rfam family "Bacterial small subunit ribosomal RNA", at positions 28 to 507 of the family's 1533-position model. The record is from RNAcentral.